CCUACGGGCGACUGCAGUGGGGAAUAUUGGACAAUGGGGGGAACCCUGAUCCAGCGACGCCGCGUGAGUGAAGAAGUAUUUCGGUAUGUAAAGCUCUAUCAGCAGGGAAGAAAGAAAUGACGGUACCUGACUAAGAAGCCCCGGCUAACCACGGGGCAGGAGACCGGGUUAUACGUAGGGGGCAAGCGUUAUCCGGAUUUACUGGGGGUAAAGGGAGCGUAGACGGCGAUGCAAGUCUGAAGUGAAAGGCGGGGGCCCAACCCCCGGACUGCUUUGGAAACUGUAUGGCUGGAGUGCAGGAGAGGUAAGUGGAAUUCGUAGUGUAGCGGUGAAAUGCGUAGAUAUUAGGAGGAACACCAGUGGCGAAGGCGGCUUACUGGACUGUAACUGACGUUGAGGCUCGAAAGCGUGGGGAGCAAACAGGAUUAGAUACCCGAGUAGUC
RNAcentral lists this ribosomal RNA (443 nucleotides) under uncultured bacterium. RNAcentral describes it as "partial 16S ribosomal RNA". It matches the Rfam family "Bacterial small subunit ribosomal RNA", at positions 338 to 795 of the family's 1533-position model. The record is from RNAcentral.